UCCAAUCGCCAGCGUAUAUCCUUUUUGCAAGUCAUGGGUACUUGCAUGCAUCCCUCCCAAUUACAAUCAUAAUUUCUAUAACAUAGAGGUGAUGGCUCCAGAAAUCAGGCAAUUCAGACAGAGAUGUCGGUGACAGCUGGAGGCUUCCAACACCUCGCCAAAACAAACUGUCGAGUGCCUACUGCCUAACAAAGUAAGUUGGGAAUCAAAUUUGUAAGAUGGCCAGUGGACGUAUUACCUUAUCUUUCAAAUUUUAAUGUAUGUAUUCAUUCCCUACACCUAUAAUUACUCGGCCUACCACUUGCAAGCUGAAUGUGCUUUCCAAUUCGAACCCAUGUGUGACCUAAAACCUACAAAAGGUUCGAUUUGCCAAACAUCUUCAUUUGUUUUAGCUACAUUCACUGUACAUUUACCAAUGGUUUAGACGAUAGUUAGUUCAAAACAGACUCAGUGUUCAAAAUUGAUUCAUUAUUGUUUGCAGUUUUUAGGAUACAAGAUUUUGAACGCAGCAGUUUUAGUUCUGCUUUCUCCCAUAUUAGACUCUUCAUUUAAUUAGUUAGCUCCUGCUGCGCUGAUAUAUUAGGGUUCAGAUUCUGUAGAUGUCUAAAGGUUGUCGGACAAGUCUUUCAGACAUUCAUCUAAUCCACAGGUUCACAAAAACUUCGCGUCCCUUACAAUUGGUUUGCUCUGCUGUUUUCAUUUGUCAUGUAAAUGAAUGCAUUCCAAACAAAUAAUGUCAAUGAACUAGACUCAUUGCUGAGUGUAUCACGUGACUUCGAAAGGAAGAAUUUGGCUGAACUGGGAUUAAUCUUUAGUGAAAAGAGAGAGUAAGACAAGGAUUGGGAACCUCCUGUUGUCCUUUAAUUCAUGUUGUCAAUAUUCUAUAGGAUCCUUGCACUGCAUCCUGUCCGGGCCAUCAAUUUAUUGAGUCUAUGGUUGCUAUAGCCAAUGGCUACUACAUGAUCGAUACUGCACUGCAGGGUGAACGUGCCGCAAUACCUCAUGCGCUCUCAGGAUCCAAAGAACUAGCUCAACUGGACUCUAGAUCACGGACAGUUUAGUCUUGGCACUUAAUUAGGAUGGCUAAAUUACAAUUGAGUUUCAUUUGGUGGAUAUUUGCUAUGAGAAUUAUGAAUUUUAUGAAUCUACAUAUUAUACAUAUGGUUUUGAAUAUUGUAA
Triticum urartu is the source of this 1179-nucleotide non-coding RNA. The record is from RefSeq and is a predicted model, not a curated record. Lineage: Eukaryota; Viridiplantae; Streptophyta; Magnoliopsida; Poales; Poaceae.